Molecule: ribosomal RNA, 425 nt
Filed under: uncultured bacterium
Lineage: Bacteria
Description: partial 16S ribosomal RNA
Rfam family: Bacterial small subunit ribosomal RNA
Source: RNAcentral
GUGGGGAAUCUUGCGCAAUGGGCGAAAGCCUGACGCAGCCAUGCCGCGUGGAUGAUGAAGGUCUUAGGAUUGUAAAAUCCUUUCACCGGUGAAGAUAAUGACUGUAGCCGGAGAAGAAGCCCCGGCUAACUUCGUGCCAGCAGCCGCGGUAAUACGAAGGGGGCUAGCGUUGCUCGGAAUUACUGGGCGUAAAGGGAGCGUAGGCGGACAUUUAAGUCAGGGGUGAAAUCCCGAGGCUCAACCUCGGAACUGCCUUUGAUACUGGGUGUCUUGAGUGUGAGAGAGGUGAGUGGAACUCCGAGUGUAGAGGUGAAAUUCGUAGAUAUUCGGAAGAACACCAGUGGCGAAGGCGGCCAACUGGUCCGAUACUGACGCUGAGGUGCGAAAGCGUGGGGAGCAAACAGGAUUAGAAACCCUUGUAGUCC